AACGUGAUGCCAGAAAACGAGGUAGACACUCAUUCUGAGCAUACAUACAUCUACUUAAAAUUAAAUACAGUAAUGUGAAACUUAAGAAAACUGUCACAAAAUAUGAUUGAAACUUUUGAUUAAAGCAAGUCAACCUUAAAAGAACGCAAUGUAUUGCGUAUCUGAACACAUAUCCAUCUUGAGUGUAUGCUUCUUUACACGAAGGAUCGGUUUUGUCACAUAAGAGUGAUGCCUUGAACAAAAAGUUUUAUAAAACAACAUUGGCGAUAAAAUUGAAUAGUUGACAGUGCUCGGCACAGAAAUAAUAUUCAUUAGCAUGACUAUGAAUCGUUAUAAAACAUUAGGACCUCUGGGGGAUGGAACCUACGGACAGGUUUGGCUUGGACAAAGAUUGGAUACUGGAGAGAAAGUCGCAAUUAAAAGAAUGAAGAAGAAAUACAGCACAUGGGACGAGGCGAUGAGUCUUCGAGAGGUUAAGUCUCUGAGAAAGCUUAGUCACUCCAAUGUCGUCAAGCUCAAGGAAGUUAUUCGAGAAAAUGAUACCCUUUACUUUGUGUUUGAAUAUAUGAAAGAAAAUUUAUACCAACUGAUGCGUAACCGAUAUGAACGGGGGGAGAAAAUUUUUCCCGAAGAAAUAAUCCAAAAGAUGAUGUUCCAAGUGCUCCAAGGCUUAGCAUUCAUGCAUAGAUCUGGCUUUUUCCACCGUGAUCUCAAACCGGAAAACUUGUUGUGCAUGGGCAUUGAUGUAAUCAAGAUUGCCGAUUUCGGACUCGCCCGAGAAAUACGCUCACGACCCCCGUACACGGAAUACGUUUCAACAAGAUGGUAUCGUGCUCCGGAAGUUUUAUUACGGGCUCCUUUUUAUUCUUGUCCCAUUGAUAUAUGGGCAGUUGGGUGCAUUAUUGCAGAAUUGUUUACAUAUCGACCAUUGUUUCCGGGGACAAGUGAAAUUGACGAAUUGUUCAAAAUAUGCUCAAUCAUGGGAACUCCAGACAAGGGCUGGCCUGAAGGACAUCAACUGGCCAAACAAAUGAAUUUCAAGUUUCCACAGUUUGAAGCAACUCCUCUUACAAAACUUGUCCCAAAUGCGAGCAAGGAUGCAAUAUAUCUUAUAGAGGACAUGUUGCGUUGGAAUCCUAGGCACCGACCGAAUGCGAAUCAGUCUUUACGAUACUCUUUCUUCAACAAUAUUCGCGACAGGGAGGAAAACUUGGCCAACGGAGAGCUUAUUCCAACACAACAAAUCGCCAUCACCACCCAACCUUCCCAACGGGUUUCAGUGAAUGUUCCCAUUUCUUACCAGACCGUUAAAGCCGAAGUAUACGAACCAAUUACAAAAAUCCUCGACUCCAAAUGGGAACGUGACUAUUAUGCUUCUGCUGCUUCGGACGAGUUUGAUGGGAAUCACAAUCAGAUCGAUAACAAAAUUUCGAGGUAUAUUUCUGGAAACGGGUAUCGACCUGCAGUGCCUCAAUACCAGCAGAACCAACCUGUCAAAUCCACGAUAUUUAAGAAUGAGAGCUCAGCUAAAGAGGAAAGCCGAACACGUUUCGCUUCCGUGUCUGGGAACAAGGGGUCAGGACAAAACAGAGCUGAGGGAUCUUAUUCCAACGCCCAACAACGUGGAUAUCCUUCAACAACAUACGAAACUCGGAGAAGUGCAUUUUUGCAAGCAUCCGAAUCGGCGUCAAAAUCUGGAAGUUCUAAACAACCUACUGCUUUAAGACGAAUAGAUUGGGCAGCGAAAUACCUUACUUAUGGCCAAUCAUAAUUUAUUUAUGGAGAAUAACCCCAAGAAUCAAGUACAUAUAAAUGUACAUAGACCCAGCCGAACCAAUAAUAAUAAAAUUAUCCAUUUAUGCAUGCAAUUAAAUGACUGAUAUGAGUGAUACCAUUUGUAUGAAUGCAAGUCUAUCAAUUGGAUUAAGAAAUAUUAAACAAAUGUAUACUUUUUGAACUUA
This is an RNA transcript of Folsomia candida, 1961 nucleotides long. It is a transcript of the gene named serine/threonine-protein kinase dyf-5, with no coding region annotated. NCBI's taxonomy places the organism in Eukaryota, Metazoa, Arthropoda, Collembola, Entomobryomorpha, Isotomidae. The record is from RefSeq and is a predicted model, not a curated record. The transcript is spliced from 13 exons.